AGCAGUUGUGGCGCCAGCCGCAGUGCUGCGUAGCUAUGUACGGACGGGAUAACCGCUGAAAGCAUCUAAGCGGGAAACCCACCUCGAAACGAGUUCUCCCUUAAGAGCCGUGGUAGACCACCACGUUGAUAGGCCGGGUGUGUAAGCGCGGCAACGCGUUCAGCUUACCGGUACUAAUAGCUCGAUUGAGCUUGAUCGCGCUCAUCUU
Molecule: ribosomal RNA, 208 nt
Filed under: Alphaproteobacteria bacterium
Lineage: Bacteria; Pseudomonadati; Pseudomonadota; Alphaproteobacteria
Description: partial 23S ribosomal RNA
Rfam family: Bacterial large subunit ribosomal RNA
Source: RNAcentral